CGUCGGCUAGCCGAAUUUCUGGGUUUUACCCGAGACCCAUCUCUUUACCAGCAGCAUCAUCAUCAAUUAAGCAAUAGUUAGCAAUCAUCAAGCAUCAACAAAUCUAUCUCUGGCUUAUUCAGAAAUCAAAGGGAAGAAUUGAAGAGUGCGUGUAAUCGAAGGGAAAGCUCCAGAAGAUCGAAGAUGAAGAGGUGACCUAGAAUUGGCAGCCUACAAACAGCUGCUAUUCAUCAGCUUUCUAGUCAUCCAUCGAUUCUCUUUAUAUAAAUCUUUAUUAGCACCAAGCAUCGCCAAUCAGGACUCUAUCAAUUAGUAGCAGUUAGUUACAAGAUUGCCAGCAACAAGUAGAUCUCUGAGUUAAUCAGAAAUCGAAAAGAUGAAUAAGAUUGUAAUCGUCAAUGGUUGGAGCGGCAAAAGUAAUUGAGGAUUGAUGUACGAUGAUGGCUACGAUUGGAUAUUUGAAUCACUGGAGGACAUGCAUCAAGGUAGAGUAACUAGAGUUGGAUGGAGAUAGAAGAUGAAGGAUGAAAGCAUGGAGGAGUGGAAUCGAUUCUUUGAGAGUUGAAGAGAUGAUAGCGUUAGCAGC
Molecule: long non-coding RNA, 586 nt
Filed under: Linum usitatissimum (flax)
Lineage: Eukaryota; Viridiplantae; Streptophyta; Magnoliopsida; Malpighiales; Linaceae
Description: long non-coding RNA (LUSI_LNC003988)
Source: RNAcentral